AAGGGAAACAUAAAAGAAAUAAAGAUAGACAGAGGAAUUGCAUCAAACUGAUCACAGAAUAUAAAUAGAAUAUUAAUACGAACUUAUAUUCAAGUGUAAAAAUUAACAAAUUGAAUUCGUGACAGAAAAAUUAGAAGAGACAAGUAGAAUGGCAUCAUCAUUAAUUGCGAAAAUGAUCAAAUUAAAGGUAACCGACACUUCCAUUAAAAGGAUAAUCCCCGAGUCGGCGC
Molecule: long non-coding RNA, 230 nt
Organism: Ceratosolen solmsi marchali
Lineage: Eukaryota; Metazoa; Arthropoda; Insecta; Hymenoptera; Agaonidae
Exons: 3
Source: RefSeq, a predicted model, not a curated record